Equus caballus (horse) is the source of this 2461-nucleotide non-coding RNA. Lineage: Eukaryota; Metazoa; Chordata; Mammalia; Perissodactyla; Equidae. The record is from RefSeq and is a predicted model, not a curated record.
AACAGAAAAUGAAGUUUAUAAUUUCCUUGACGGGACUAGUCAUCUAAACAGUAACUUCAGCCUAUUUCAGUUCUUGCACUGAACUACAAAACAAGGGCACUUUGUGACAGUGGCUUUUAUAUUGACCUUAUUGGCAUUUAAGCAUGGGUAGGAUUUGGGCAAGCAGAGAGUGGAGAAAUUCAAGGCACCAAUGAAGAAAUAAAGGAAGAAAUGCUUAUGGAUGUGGUCAGGAAUGUAAGAUUUGAAGAGCAGCAUAGAUUGAUGGAUGAUGUGUCUUGAAAAAAAAGGUUUAGUUUAGAAGUGGUAGGAAAUAGGGAGUCAGGGAAGGCUUAUGGAUGGGAAAGUGACAAGAGGAAAACUACACUCAAAUGAGUUUAGUGUGUUGGUGAUGUCUAAGACAGUGAAGAGGGCAAGUGUGGGAGUGUUAGGGCGACAAUAUUCGAUAGUUCAUCUCUGGAAGACAAGAGGGACUAGUAUAGUGCAGCUCGUGGGGAUGCAGAGGAAAGGAUGACUAUUAGGCCCAUGAGGGGAAGAGCUUACACCGUGCAACAGCUAACUCCACCCAGGAGAGAAGGAAGCCUUUCAACGGGACUCCAAGCUUUGAGUUCAGGCAGAGAAAGAAAUCGUGGUGCCACUCCUGGAGCCAGUGAAAUUGGAAGCUUGAAGUGACUCAGUGUGAGCAGAGCACAAUUUCAGCAUUGGACAUGCUGAAUAUUAGGGGUUGAUGGAAUAUCAGAACGUAAAUAUCAGCUGGCUGCUCAAUAAUAGGAUCUGUCCACAUAGAGGAGAAACAGGAAGCAAAAAAUAUAAGGAGGGCCAAAAAAUCCUGUUUUCCCUCUAGCCUGAGCAAGAUUUCAAGGAAAAUUUUUUGAAUGCUUGUUAUUUCUGAACCUGAAAAUUCUGAGUAACAGAGAACUUACUCAAAGUUUCUCCAUAAAUGUCUAAUUUGUGCUCAGUCUUAGUUUAUGUAGUAUAAUUUGUCUAAUUGUUCUAAAAACACAUUUGACACAGAAAGCCCUGGUCAAAAGAUGAACUCCUCUUCUCCUUUACAAUCUUGGGGGCAACUUUAGGACUUCGGUUUUGGGGUUUCAUAUUAACAAGAGUCUGACUAUAAUUUUUCAAUCAACAUUUUCCUCAUAAAGAACUGCAUGACUAUGGUGACAGAUACGGAAUUCGUACCAACAACAGUUCUCAACCUUGGGUACCUGUUAGAGUCCUGGGGAGUUUUUAAAUAUUGCUGAUCCCAGACCAAUGGACUCAGUCUCUCUGUGGAUGGCAUCUGAGCAUCAUUGUUUUGUAAAAGCAGCCCCAGGUAAUUCUAACGUACAUGCAGGAUUGAAACCACCUGAAAAAUGGAAGCAGCGAUUCUGGACCUUAACCGCAUGUUGGAACCAUAUUGGGAGUUUUAAGAAAUGUAUAGAUGCCUGAGUCCUAUUUCUGGAGAUUCUGAGCAUCAGGAAUCUUAAAAGGUUCCCAGGUGAUUUGAGGUGAUGGCGUGCAGUCAAAAUCAAGAACCACUGAGCCAGUCCCUGGUCGUCUUAAGGCACACUUUCCAACUUCACUAUCUCAAACAACUCUUUAGUCCUGUCUAGGUGGGCAGACCUGUGGGAGAGUCCGCUUGAUAUUUUUGCCAUGGGCGUAAUGAACUCAAUUGUCAGCUAACUUUUAAUCGCAGUCUUUCUUGCUGGUAAUAAUGAUGUAAGAAGUCGAAAAACAUCACCAGGAUUUUCAGAUCCCAGGUUGAGUUUGCAUUGUUGGCAGUUGGAAAGUUCAUGACUUAAGUUGCAAAACUGAACCCAUUUUGAACUAAAGUCAUGGAGACAAUGUAAUGUCAUUUACAGGUGCUUCUCUGGAGAAAAACUCGUCCUGAAACUCUGUGACAAAAUGAAAUUUACACAUCUGCAAGUCAUAGUCAGCAACUCCAGUUUACUCCAGGAAAAUCUUGGAUUUAACAAAGAUUCUCCUCCAGGAUAACAGAAAGAGGGCUACACUUGGUCCUAUCUCAUGCAUUCAUUUCUCUAGCUUACACGGAUACAUUAUUUCCACCUCCCUAAAUCUAGAGAUCUGCAGCGCCAACGGUCUCAGUUCAAACGGCGUUCCUCCAGCCAGUUCUUCAGAGAAACACCACCACGGAGGACGCUUUCCUUUUCGUUGUUUGAGUGGAGAAUCCAAGAAAUUGUGGACGUCUUCAGCUAUUUUUUGCAACUUCUUCUAGCUUUAUGAAGGUAGUCGACCUCAUACUUCUCUUUCUUGAAGGUGAAAGGAAUUUGAUCACUUUCCAAAUUUCUUGAUAUUUUGCCAAAAUUCAUGAUCAUAAGACAAGUUUACUCUGGGUUGCUCUGCGUUUCAGAUAAAUUCUCCUGGAAUAGGUCUGACUGAGAGGACUUAAAACACUCGUUCCCACCGCUCCCGUCUUCAUUUAUGACCUUACAUGUUGUAAUAAAUAGAGAGAAACAUUUGA